GACCCUAUAGUUGAAUGGUAUACAACACCAUCUUCGAGUACGAAACAAAGCAAACAGUUAAGAUGGAGAACCUCGUUCGAUUCGAGGUAGGGUCC
Mycena crocata is the source of this 95-nucleotide non-coding RNA. The record is from the annotation of a GenBank genome assembly. Lineage: Eukaryota; Fungi; Basidiomycota; Agaricomycetes; Agaricales; Mycenaceae.